Long non-coding RNA from Sinocyclocheilus grahami, 340 nucleotides. RefSeq lists it as uncharacterized. The transcript is spliced from 3 exons. The record is from RefSeq and is a predicted model, not a curated record. Lineage: Eukaryota; Metazoa; Chordata; Actinopteri; Cypriniformes; Cyprinidae.
AUCACAGUGACAACUGUGAGUGCAAAAUUAAAGUGCAAGGGUUUGUUGUAACAGAGAUCUUCACUAGUACACUUCUGGAAGGAACAGAUGUUUUAUUAAGCAAAACAAUCAUGAUGACUGAAGACUUCAUCAAACCGAAAACUCCAGUCUUAUCAGUGCAGAAGACUGCAAAUGGAAACUUUAAUGUAACUUGGGAUGACCAGUAUGAAAUAAGUGAUUUGGUAGGAAGAAAUUUUUUGGAAGACUUGAAAAUAAAUGUGACCUAUGGCAUCAAAGGAGGACUUGAAAAUAUAUGCAAGACGGUGCCGAACACUGUGGGAUCCUUUGAAAUUAUGGGCAA